UACUUAGCCUCCAACUGGGUCUGGCUGUCGGCUGGCCAGGCAACAAUCAGUUAUAGACAUAUAUAAACUAAGAAAACUGUAAAGUUGCAGGAAAACCACAAUAUUUUUCUACUGGUUGAUAAAUCAGAGAGCACUGAUUUAUCAACAGCCACAUGGACAGUAAAGCGUUUGCUCUGAUUCAGAAGCAGCAGAGUUCAGAGGAAAACGCUCACUGGAGAAAAUGAGGAACAUUAUUACCAAACAUGUGCAUGAAAAUAUCAUUAUGUUUGAGGAGGCUAAAGGUGUCAUGUUGAACCAGCUGACUGUCUUGAAGACGGACAUCUUGGAGAUACUGCAGGAAACCAUGAGGGAAUCCAUUGAGCUCUCACUGAAGACAGAUGACAACUCAAUCCCAGAUGUUCCAACUGAACUUGAGAUGGUGAGGAGAUACUACGAUGAACUGAAAGACAAUCCAGAUGGAGAAACAUCACAACUGGAGUAAAACCUAGAAUCUUCCAUCAGUGGACAGAAACAGCAGAGUCCUGGUCUCCCACUGAACAUCUCUGAGGAAUCACUGACUCAACACAGGACACUCUGGAUCUGGUCUCAACCAGUUUUAUUAAGUUGGUUUCUAUGGACUCUUUGGUUUGAUUUGUUCUAUGACUUUGUUUUUAUGAAUUUUGUGCUGAGAGAUUAGAGAUUUUUUGGAAGUUUUUUUUUCAUUUAAUGGAUUCCAGUCCAGAGGCAACUUAAAAAGUAGAGAGAGAUGAAAUGCAAAGAGCCCUGGUUGGAUUUGGACCAGCGAUGUUCUGGUUUUCAUCAUAAAGGUACAAACCACAAAACAUUUAGAUUUUAAGGAUUGAACUGUUCUUUUCUUGUUUUCCAGUAUUGUGUUUCCAUGUUUUCUGAGUUUAGUGUGGGUUCAUUGGGAUGGGAACACUGCAGGUUCAGGGAUUAGAUCAAUGUGUGUCAUUUUAACCUUGAACCUUGAAUACAGCUCAGACUGCAGGUUUGAUUUAACAGAGAUUUUAGGCUUUUAAAAGAAUGACCUGAAUGUUUUUCCUUUAAGAAAUAUUUACUUAAUGGGAGGUAAUGUUGGUGCUCACAUUGGAAAUGCAGAGAAACAGAUGAAAGUAAUAAAGCAGCUGCUUCUUACUGGAAAUGAACAUCAUUUAUUAUAUUGUUUUAUUUUGCCUAUAAUCUACACUGAUUCUAAAUGAAUACAUGUUUUUGAUAUGAUGUCCAACACAAUUAACCUUCAACCUUGAAUAUAACUCAUACUGCAGGUUUGAUUUAACAUAGAUUUGAGCUUUUUAAAGACAGACCUUGAAUUCCUACUUUUCUUUUACAUUCAAGGAAAUUUUUUUUUACUAAAUGCAAGAUAACAGUCUCUUGAU
Amphiprion ocellaris (clown anemonefish) is the source of this 1376-nucleotide long non-coding RNA. The record is from Ensembl. NCBI's taxonomy places the organism in Eukaryota, Metazoa, Chordata, Actinopteri, Pomacentridae.